CCUACGGGAGGCAGCAGUGGGGAAUUUUGGACAAUGGGCGCAAGCCUGAUCCAGCCAUGCCGCGUGAGUGAAGAAGGCCUUCGGGUUGUAAAGCUCUUUCGCAAGGAAAGAAAACUUACAUGUAAAUAAUGUGUGAGGUUGACGGUACCUUGAUAAGAAGCACCGGCUAACUACGUGCCAGCAGCCGCGGUAAUACGUAGGGUGCAAGCGUUAAUCGGAAUUACUGGGCGUAAAGCGAGCGCAGGCGGUUUUGUAAGUCAGAUGUGAAAGCCCCGGGCUCAACCUGGGAACUGCGUUUGAAACUACAAGGCUAGAGUAUGGGAGAGGGGGGUAGAAUUCCACGUGUAGCAGUGAAAUGCGUAGAGAUGUGGAGGAAUACCAAUGGCGAAGGCAGCCCCCUGGCCUAAUACUGACGCUCAGGCUCGAAAGCGUGGGGAGCAAACAGGAUUAGAUACCCUGGUAGUCCACGCCCUAAACGAUGUCAACUAGUUGUUGGGAGAGUAAAAUCUCUUAGUAACGCAGCUAACGCGUGAAGUUGACCGCCUGGGGAGUACGGUCGCAAGAUUAAAACUCAAAUGAAUUGACGG
This 587-nucleotide ribosomal RNA is filed under the name uncultured bacterium. RNAcentral's name for it is "bacterial SSU rRNA". It matches the Rfam family "Bacterial small subunit ribosomal RNA", at positions 338 to 916 of the family's 1533-position model. The record is from RNAcentral.